Molecule: ribosomal RNA, 492 nt
Filed under: uncultured bacterium
Lineage: Bacteria
Description: partial 16S ribosomal RNA
Rfam family: Bacterial small subunit ribosomal RNA
Source: RNAcentral
AGUGAACGCUGGCGGUAGGCCUAACACAUGCAAGUCGAACGGCAGCACAGUAAGAGCUUGCUCUUACGGGUGGCGAGUGGCGGACGGGUGAGGAAUACAUCGGAAUCUACUUUUUCGUGGGGGAUAACGUAGGGAAACUUACGCUAAUACCGCAUACGACCUACGGGUGAAAUCAGGGGAUCUUCGGACCUUGCGCGAUUGAAUGAGCCGAUGUCGGAUUAGCUAGUUGGCGGGGUAAAGGCCCACCAAGGCGACGAUCCGUAGCUGGUCUGAGAGGAUGACCGGCCACACUGGAACUGAGACACGGUCCAGACUCCUACGGAGGGCGGCGGUGGGGAAUAUUGGAAAAUGGGGGCAAGCCUGAUCAAGACAUACCGCGUGGGUGAAGAAGGCCUUCGGGUUGAAAGGCCCGUUUUUAGGGAAAGAAAAGCAGCAGGUUAAUACCCCGCUGUUCUGACGGUACCCAAAGAAUAAGCACCGGCUAACUACGUG